RNAcentral lists this ribosomal RNA (275 nucleotides) under uncultured bacterium. RNAcentral's name for it is "partial 16S ribosomal RNA". It matches the Rfam family "Bacterial small subunit ribosomal RNA", at positions 338 to 630 of the family's 1533-position model. The record is from RNAcentral.
CCUACGGGUGGCUGCAGUGGGGAAUAUUGGACAAUGGGCGCAAGCCUGAUCCAGCAAUGCCGCGUGAGUGAGGAAGGCCUUAGGGUUGUAAAGCUCUUUCACCCGCGACGAUGAUGACGGUAGCGGGAGAAGAAGCCCCGGCUAACUUCGUGCCAGCAGCCGCGGUAAUACGAAGGGGGCGAGCGUUGUUCGGAUUUACUGGGCGUAAAGGGCGCGCAGGCGGCUCAUUUUGUCAGGCGUGAAAGCCCCGGGCUUAACCUGGGAACUGCGCUUGA